AAGUAGACUUUGGGGGGCUUCUGUC
Molecule: non-coding RNA, 25 nt
Filed under: Cricetulus griseus (Chinese hamster)
Lineage: Eukaryota; Metazoa; Chordata; Mammalia; Rodentia; Cricetidae
Source: RNAcentral